Long non-coding RNA from Lemur catta (Ring-tailed lemur), 1774 nucleotides. RefSeq lists it as uncharacterized. The record is from RefSeq and is a predicted model, not a curated record. The transcript is spliced from 3 exons. Lineage: Eukaryota; Metazoa; Chordata; Mammalia; Primates; Lemuridae.
UGUCUCAAAAAAAAAAAAAAAAUUCAGCAAGAGGAUAUAACAAUUCUAAAUAUAUAUAUCCCCCUGUUGAGGGGUAGGGUUGAGACAUGAGAACCCCAGGAGUGGGACAGGACUUUGCCAAAGAGCAACCUGUCGACGUGUCAGUUCACUGAGCAAAAGCUGCUCGACCUUGAUCAGGGAUGUCUGCAACGGACCCCACCUCGAAGCCUGAGGGCCACAGCCUGGAUGUCUGCAAAUGGACCCGGGCUUGUAAUCCUAAGGCAGAGAGAAGGAUCAAAGGACGUCAGCCCAGCAGAUAAGAGCAGUUUGCUAUUCUAAGCCUGAGGCAAUGUUCCUUUCUCUCUCCUGAGUUCACGUCUCAGUAAAUGAGGAACUAGAUAAAGUAGAAAGAAGUACGUGGUCUCGUUGUUCCUGUUUGGAUUAUAAGCUUUACUGCUGACUCACGAUUUUACCUUUAACCUGUGUGCACUUAGUUUAUUGUUACUUUGGGAGACCUCAAAACUUAAACUCAUGAUAUGUACAUGUAAAUCGGUGACUGAUAACAAUUGUUUGCUGAAAGAAUAAAUACUGAUGUAGGACUCCACUCGUGGCCACUUGGCUCACGGGAAUGCUGGAGGACCCCGGAUUUCCCCAUCACUUUAAUCUAUACUUUGUCUUUGUCUCCUUUAUUUCCAAUCUCUUGCAAUGUUCCUGCCUGGGACCCGAUUUGUUGGGAGAGUUGCAAACUCCCGGCAACUGGUGCAGCGAGCAGGGUCCACGAGGCAGAAGGCUUCACUGGAGUGAAGAAGAUUCCCGUACCACGUCGUGGAGACCCAGAGAGGGCUAUGAGCCCUGCCAGCCAGAAAGUAUGACGGACAGACCAUGUGGAUUCCAAGCAGAAGGAUCAAGCCCCGAAAGGAGGAAACGGAAGAUGCCUCAAUACAUGCCCGAGGCCAUAACAGAAGAACUCUCCAGGAUGAGUCUGAACAACAAGAGACCCACUGAUGCCCCUCCAGAACACCACAGGCAUCAGUCAUCACUUGGGGCCAGCUGAAGAAGACACGCGAGAAGGCGGAAAAUGUGCUGUCACAAGCCAACGCACCCAAAACGUCUUCUGGAGACAACUCUGAAGAAAGCAAGAAUCCGGAGACCAACGUUUAGCAGCGAUGGUGAUUCAACUUCAUCGACUCGCUGCUAAGAAAAAAGGGGGAGAUGUUGAGGGGUAGGGUUGAGACAUGAGAACCCCAGGAGUGGGACAGGACUUUGCCAAAGAGCAACCUGUCAACGUGUCAGUUCACUAAGCAAAAGCUGCUCGACCUUGAUCAGGGAUGUCUGCAACGGACCCCACCUCGAAGCCUGAGGGCCACAGCCUGGAUGUCUGCAAAUGGACCCGGGCUUGUAAUCCGAAGGCAGAGAGAAGGAUCAAAGGAUGUCAGCCCAGCAGAUAAGAGCAGUUUGCUAUUCUAAGCCUGAGGCAAUGUUCCUUUCUCUCUCCUGAGUUCACGUCUCAGUAAAUGAGGAACUAGAUAAAGUAGAAAGAAGUACGUGGUCUCGUUGUUCCUGUUUGGAUUAUAAGCUUUACUGCUGACUCACGAUUUUACCUUUAAACUGUGUGCACUUAGUUUAUUGUUACUUUGGGAGACCUUGAAACUUAAACUCAUGAUAUGUACAUGUAAAUCGGUGACUGAUAACAAUUGUUUGCUGAAAGAAUAAAUACUGAUGUAGGACUCCACUCGUGGCCACUUGGCUCACGGGAAUGCUGGAGGACCCCGGAUUUCCCCAUCACUUUAAUCUA